GCGGAGAAAGAGAAGCUUGCUUUUCUUUCUUAGCGGCGGACGGGUGAGUAACGCGUGAGCAACCUGCCUAUAUCUGGGGAAUAACAGUUGGAAACGACUGCUAAUACCGCAUAAGACCACAGUAGGGCAUCCUACAGGGGUAAAAGAUUUAUCGGAUAUAGAUGGGCUCGCGUACCAUUAGAUAGUUGGUAGUGUAACGGACUACCAAGUCGACGAUGGUUAGCCGACCUGAGAGGGUGAUCGGCCACAUUGGAACUGAGAUACGGUCCAGACUCCUACGGGAGGCAGCAGUAGGGAAUAUUGGGCAAUGGAGGCAACUCUGACCCAGCAACACCGCGUGAAUGAUGAAGGUCUUCGGAUUGUAAAGUUCUGUGAUGGGGGACGAAGAAAGUGACGGUACCCCAAUAGCAAGCUCCGGCUAACUACGUGCCAGCAGCCGCGGUAAUACGUAGGGAGCAAGCGUUGUCCGGAAUGACUGGGCGUAAAGGGUACGUAGGUGGCUAUUCAAGUUAGUUGUGAAAUUCCGAGGCUCAACUUCGGCGCUACAAUUAAGACUGUUUAGCUUGAGUGCAGGAGGGGUAAGUGGAAUUCCUAGUGUAGCGGUGGAAUGCGUAGAUAUUAGGAGGAACACCAGUGGCGAAGGCGACUUACUGGACUGUAAC
This 662-nucleotide ribosomal RNA is filed under the name uncultured Bacillota bacterium. Its description in RNAcentral is "bacterial SSU rRNA". It matches the Rfam family "Bacterial small subunit ribosomal RNA", at positions 66 to 740 of the family's 1533-position model. Lineage: Bacteria; Bacillati; Bacillota. The record is from RNAcentral.